GCGCACGUGGCGUAAUUGGUAGCCGCGCCAGACUUAGGAUCUGGUGUCUUGCGACGUGAAGGUUCGAGUCCUUUCGUGCGCA
RNAcentral lists this transfer RNA (82 nucleotides) under Clostridium sp. Its description in RNAcentral is "tRNA-Leu". It matches the Rfam family "tRNA". Rfam says of the family: Transfer RNA (tRNA) molecules are approximately 80 nucleotides in length. Their secondary structure includes four short double-helical elements and three loops (D, anti-codon, and T loops). Further hydrogen bonds mediate the characteristic L-shaped molecular structure. tRNAs have two regions of fundamental functional importance: the anti-codon, which is responsible for specific mRNA codon recognition, and the 3' end, to which the tRNAs corresponding amino acid is attached (by aminoacyl-tRNA synthetases). tRNAs cope with the degeneracy of the genetic code in two manners: having more than one tRNA (with a specific anti-codon) for a particular amino acid; and 'wobble' base-pairing, i.e. permitting non-standard base-pairing at the 3rd anti-codon position. Lineage: Bacteria; Bacillati; Bacillota; Clostridia; Eubacteriales; Clostridiaceae. RNAcentral also lists the same sequence under 1 other name. The record is from RNAcentral.